RNAcentral lists this ribosomal RNA (279 nucleotides) under uncultured bacterium. RNAcentral's name for it is "partial 16S ribosomal RNA". It matches the Rfam family "Bacterial small subunit ribosomal RNA", at positions 506 to 784 of the family's 1533-position model. The record is from RNAcentral.
UGCCAGCCGCCGCGGUAAUACGGAGGGGGCUAGCGUUGUUCGGAAUUACUGGGCGUAAAGCGCGCGUAGGCGGCUAUUUAAGUCAGAUGUGAAAGUCCACGGCUCAACCGUGGAAGUGCAUUUGAAACUGGAUGGCUUGAGUACUGGAGGGGGUGGUGGAAUUCCCGGUGUAGAGGUGAAAUUCGUAGAUAUCGGGAAGAAUACCGGUGGCGAAGGCGAGCUUCUGGCCAGAUACUGACGCUGAGAUGCGAAAGCGUGGGGAGCGAACAGGAUUAGAUA